This 560-nucleotide long non-coding RNA is filed under the name Bos taurus (domestic cattle). RNAcentral's name for it is "long non-coding RNA NONBTAT009162". The record is from RNAcentral. Lineage: Eukaryota; Metazoa; Chordata; Mammalia; Artiodactyla; Bovidae.
AUUUGGGUGUAUGGUAAAAUUAGAAUUCCAUGGUGAGUGCUAAUAAAGUAUUGUUUGAGUACUUUGACAUUCUGCAGGGAAAGUAGCUGGCAUCUUCUCCCCAUGCACCUCACUGAAUUGAGAGUCCUUUAAUGCUGAAAUAAAAAUGGAUGGCCUUGUCUUUAUCCUUUCAUCUCUUUCUCAGCCCUUGGUGUUUCUUGGAUAGCUAGGCUGUUUGGAUUGUGGGUUAUAAGGAAAAGGAAAAAUUCACUUGGGUCGUUCAGUAUGUUGCCGUAUACCUGAACAGGGCAGUGCGUUCCCACUAGCACUAUGUGGUCGGUCAGAACACAUUCUGUGUGUUUUUACUGGACACAACUCGUCAUUUACAAAACAGAUUUCUUCUCCCAGAUGUACUCUCCAAACACACAGCUUAAAGAGGGAAGGGAAGGGACAGCAGGCCGGUUGUGUCACUCAGUCUCUGUAACUAUUGUCCCUGCUGAGGCCUAGGGAGGGGAGGUCUGGCAGGACACUGAAGCAGGCCAGUAAGCACUUAGCAGGUCUAGCUCAAAUAUCCUCGGCAA